CGAUCGAUUCAAUGUUGCAUAACCGAGAGGCCCCUUAUAAGAGUUCGCAGGUUUAUUCUUAUACAACCACUUGCAGUCAAAAACAUUGACAUAACUACCUCAGUAUGGUUUCCUCCAUUGAUCACAAUGCAAGCAUCCUUAUAUGACAUAGGUUGUCUGCAUAAUGCCAUACAUAGCAGAUAAAUAUUGUGAGAAAUAGUUCAGACUCCAUAGAGUUAGUUUCUUGUACUUUACUUUAGUUGAU
This 244-nucleotide long non-coding RNA is filed under the name Trifolium pratense (red clover). RNAcentral's name for it is "long non-coding RNA (TPRA_LNC004239)". Lineage: Eukaryota; Viridiplantae; Streptophyta; Magnoliopsida; Fabales; Fabaceae. The record is from RNAcentral.